Long non-coding RNA from Ornithodoros turicata, 382 nucleotides. RefSeq lists it as uncharacterized. NCBI's taxonomy places the organism in Eukaryota, Metazoa, Arthropoda, Arachnida, Ixodida, Argasidae. The transcript has 3 exons. The record is from RefSeq and is a predicted model, not a curated record.
UUGGCAAGGCAGGACCAGACGACGCAAAUUACAUUGGGAGACACUGUUGUGAAUUUGUGGUGCCUCGCGUCGUUUAGCUGGUGUGGCCCGAAGGAUGUGGUGGUACAGAAAAUGCGAGGGUCGUCAAGUGUUGUGUACAUUACUCAGAUACAGCGUGCGCUGUUUACAGAACUCAAAAAUGCCUGCCGAGGUGACCACGCGUCGUGGUCUGGCAGGACAAGGCGAAUAAGAAGUGGACUGCAUGACUCCACGUUCGUCGCAAGUAAGUCUUCACCCCGCCACAUGUUCGGAGAAGACGAAGACCAUAGGUUGCCAAGUAAAGCUUCAAAGGUGCAGAAGGAUGAGGUGACAUGCAUACAUGAAGUGAAGAAAACGACACAGC